RNAcentral lists this unclassified non-coding RNA (276 nucleotides) under Hevea brasiliensis (rubber tree). Lineage: Eukaryota; Viridiplantae; Streptophyta; Magnoliopsida; Malpighiales; Euphorbiaceae. The record is from RNAcentral.
AUCGUGGAUCGUGACAGAUUCGAAGCUACGUGAGCACAUCAAGAUCUCAUUGGGGAAGAAACUCGGCACGCUCUACGGUGAGUUCUACAUCAAAUACCGUUCGCGAUUGGAGAAUCUUUACGGAACUGAUUCGGAGGUGAGAUUUGCGCCGGAUGAUUUAGGGAACUACUUGUCGGACUUGCUUCACGGCGAUGGGAAUUCAGGAGGGAGUGUUUCUUCAUCAUCGUCGUUGUCGUCGUCGCCGUACCAUUUCCACGGUGGUCGGCGGAGUGGAUG